UUUCCGUAGGUGAACCUGCGGAAGGAUCAUUAUUGAAAUAAAUCUGAUGGGUUGCUGCUGGCUCUCUAGGGUGCAUGUGCACACUUGUCAUCUUUAUAUCUCCACCUGUGCACCUUUUGUAGAUCUGGAUAUCUUUCUGAAUGCCUGGCAUUCAGGUUUGAGGAUUGACUUUUGUCUUUCCUUACAUUUCCAGGCCUAUGUUUUCUUCAUAUACACCAUGUAUGUUAUAGAAUGUAAUAAACAGGGCCUUUGUGCUACAAACCUAUACAACUUUCAGCAACGGAUCUCUUGGCUCUCGCAUCGAUGAAGAACGCAGCGAAAUGCGAUAAGUAAUGUGAAUUGCAGAAUUCAGUGAAUCAUCGAAUCUUUGAACGCACCUUGCGCUCCUUGGUAUUCCGAGGAGCAUGCCUGUUUGAGUGUCAUUAAUAUAUCAACCUCCUCAGGUUUUUACUUGUUGAGUGUUUGGAUGUGGGGGUAUUUUUUUGUUGGUCUCUUUUGAGGUCGGCUCCCCUGAAAUGCAUUAGCGGAACAAUUUGUUGACCCGUUCAUUGGUGUGAUAACUAUCUACGCUUUUGACGCGAAGCAGGUUCAGCUUCUAACAGUCCAUUGACUUGGACAAAUUUUCAUUAAUGUGACCUCAAAUCAGGUAGGACUACCCGCUGAACUUAA
Molecule: ribosomal RNA, 669 nt
Filed under: Cortinarius purpureus
Lineage: Eukaryota; Fungi; Basidiomycota; Agaricomycetes; Agaricales; Cortinariaceae
Description: partial ribosomal RNA
Rfam family: 5.8S ribosomal RNA (bases 269-422)
Source: RNAcentral